This 245-nucleotide ribosomal RNA is filed under the name Potamophylax sp. MK-2013. RNAcentral's name for it is "partial 18S ribosomal RNA". It matches the Rfam family "Eukaryotic small subunit ribosomal RNA", at positions 831 to 1073 of the family's 1831-position model. The record is from RNAcentral. Lineage: Eukaryota; Metazoa; Arthropoda; Insecta; Trichoptera; Limnephilidae.
CGGUUCUGUUUUGUUGGCUUUCUGAUACCAGAGGUAAUGAUUAAUAGGGACGACUGGGGGCAUUCGUAUUGAGACGUUAGAGGUGAAAUUCUUGGAUCGUCGCAAGACGGACUAAAGCGAAAGCAUUUGCCAAAGGUGUUUUCAUUAAUCAAGAACGAAAGUUAGAGGUUCGAAGGCGAUUAGAUACCGCUGUAGUUCUAACCAUAAAUGAUGCCAGCCAGCGAUCCGCCGAAGUUUCAUAAUUU